This is a long non-coding RNA of Rhododendron vialii, 1131 nucleotides long. RefSeq lists it as uncharacterized. The record is from RefSeq and is a predicted model, not a curated record. The transcript is spliced from 2 exons. NCBI's taxonomy places the organism in Eukaryota, Viridiplantae, Streptophyta, Magnoliopsida, Ericales, Ericaceae.
CAGAGGUGUUUCUGAAUCUCACAACCACUUGUUCUUUGACUGUCCCUAUUCUGGAGAAGUGUGGCAUGAAGUCCUGAGGAAGAAGGUGAAUAGGGGCCCUAAGGCUUGGGAAGAUGAGAAAACUUGGUUUAUUCUGCAUGCUAAGGACUCAGAAUUUCAAUCUUGAAAAUUUCCUUGGCUGCAGCUCUGUAUCAUGUUUGGGUUGAAAGAAAUAGAAGCUGAUCCAACAAAGAUCACUAGACCCCUCAUCUCUUGAAUUGUUGAUUAACACUGCUAUCAGGGACUGUAUGCUUUCUUGGAGAAACAUAAAGCCUAGCUCAGAAAAUAAGGACAUUUGCACCUUGUGGAAUGUUCCUCAUAAAUCUCAUGAGGCUAUUGCCUUGAUGUUUUUUCUUUUUGUAUAUGGUGUACAGGAUGGCUUCUGACGGCAUAGUUUUUUCCUAAUCUUGCCAAGUAAGUGGUUUAUUGGUUUUUAUUUUGGUCUUGCAUGGCCAAGUAAGUAGUUUUGUUUUGGUCCUUGGACUGUUUUGGUUGUAUUCUGCGUUUGGGCUAUGAUGAAAUGAGUACAUUUACCGGGGAAAAAAAUAAACUAAAAUAGAGUGGGAGCCCCUGAUCUCCAAAAAAAAUCAUGAGAGCGAGAGAGAGAGAGAGAGAGAGAGAGAGAGAGAGAGAGAGAGAGAGAGAGAGAGAGAAUACUACCAACUACCAAUGCUAGACAAAGUAAUAAAAGCUCGUCUAAAGCUACCUUUAAAUAUCCAUCAACCACUAAAAAGCAGGAGACCCCUUUCGGGUGUCUUAAUUUAGAGAUUGAUUGGAUGUUCGAAUGGUGUCACUAAAGUGAUUUCCCCCUUUAAUACCUAUAUAAACUUGCACCAAAAACACUCAUAUUUCAUCCCUCUCAAGUCUCAAUAUAUGAUACUAACACACUUCCUAAAACAGUCAUUGGAGAUGCUCUUACACAUUAAGUCUGCUGGCAUAUAGAAUGUGAGACCCAAUCAAGUGGAGCCCACUCCACUGUCAUACUCUCUCCAGCACCAGUUUUCAGCAUUAGAGAAGCCGUUAAACAUAACAACUGAUAUCUGAGUGUAGUGUACCAGGCAGAUGACACUCACAUAACAACUAAAUCUGAGC